UGCCCUUGUGGUGGAAUGGUAGACACUCAGCAUUUAAAAUGCUGUGCAAUUUUUUGCGUGACGGUUCAAAUCCGUUCGAGGGCAA
Molecule: transfer RNA, 85 nt
Filed under: Microrhizoidea pickettheapsiorum
Lineage: Eukaryota; Viridiplantae; Chlorophyta; Mamiellophyceae; Dolichomastigales
Description: tRNA-Leu
Rfam family: tRNA
About the family: Transfer RNA (tRNA) molecules are approximately 80 nucleotides in length. Their secondary structure includes four short double-helical elements and three loops (D, anti-codon, and T loops). Further hydrogen bonds mediate the characteristic L-shaped molecular structure. tRNAs have two regions of fundamental functional importance: the anti-codon, which is responsible for specific mRNA codon recognition, and the 3' end, to which the tRNAs corresponding amino acid is attached (by aminoacyl-tRNA synthetases). tRNAs cope with the degeneracy of the genetic code in two manners: having more than one tRNA (with a specific anti-codon) for a particular amino acid; and 'wobble' base-pairing, i.e. permitting non-standard base-pairing at the 3rd anti-codon position.
Source: RNAcentral